Molecule: ribosomal RNA, 729 nt
Filed under: Biatoropsis usnearum
Lineage: Eukaryota; Fungi; Basidiomycota; Tremellomycetes; Tremellales; Tremellaceae
Description: SSU rRNA
Rfam family: Bacterial small subunit ribosomal RNA
Source: RNAcentral
AAGUGUGAACCAGUGACCUGGAUUCAAAUAAGUUUAUUUAUUUGAAAAUUAUUUAAGCAUAAUGAGUUCAAAUAAUAUAUUAAGUCCUGUCUAAAAACCGUGCCAGCAGUCGCGGUAAUACGGUGAGGGCUACCCAUCGGAAUCUUAAGUAGGCGUAUAGGGUGCGUAGCUUGUAAAAACUAGAGUUUUAUUGAGGAAAAAUCCAUACACGGAUGAGGGUUGAAAUCCAUUGACACCGCGGUGAGAGCUAAUGGCGAAGGCAUUUUUCCAAAUAAAUACUGACAGUGAGGCACGAAAGCCUGGUCAGGGAAGCCGAUUAGAGACCGGCGUACUCCAGGCUGUAAACUAUGCAGACCCAACUUUUUAUUAGGAAAGUUGCCGCUAACGCUUUGAGUCUGCCGCCAGCAUGGUACAGCCGCAAGGUCGACACGCAAACGACGAGACCGUCUGUGGUAUCAAUCGGGUGCGGGGCAUGCUGUUUAAUCCGUCAAUACGCGUAAAAUCUUACCAUGUCUUGAAUAUUAACUAAAUUAAAGUCAUUUAACUUGUCAAAAGUAAAGUUAAUACAGGUGUUGCAUGGCUGUCGUCAGCUAGUGCUUGUGAGGCGUAAGGUUUGGUCCAUUUAACUAGCGCAAACCUCACCUUAAAUUAUUUUUAAGGUCCCGAUUUUAUGCAAAUUUGGNUUUGGAGGAGUAUGACAAGCCGGCAUGGCCCUUAUGACAUGGGCUA